UACGUAGGUGGCAAGCGUUAUCCGGAUUUACUGGGUGUAAAGGGGGCGCAGACGGCGAUGCAAGCCAGGAGUGAAAGCCCGGGGCCCAACCCCGGGACUGCUCUUGGAACUGCGUGGCUGGAGUGCAGGAGGGGCAGGCGGAAUUCCUGGUGUAGCGGUGAAAUGCGUAGAUAUAUGGAGGAACACCGGUGGCGAAAGCGGCUCUCUGGCCUGUAACUGACACUGAGGCUCGAAAGCGUGGGGAGCAAACAGG
RNAcentral lists this ribosomal RNA (253 nucleotides) under uncultured bacterium. RNAcentral describes it as "partial 16S ribosomal RNA". It matches the Rfam family "Bacterial small subunit ribosomal RNA", at positions 524 to 776 of the family's 1533-position model. The record is from RNAcentral.